GAUCCUGGCUCAGGACGAACGCUGGCGGCGUGCCUAACACAUGCAAGUCGAACGAAGCUCCCCGAUACAAGGCUUCGGCCAAGUUGAAGGGAUGACUUAGUGGCGGACGGGUGAGUAACGCGUGAGGAACCUGCCUUUCAGUGGGGGACAACAGUUGGAAACGACUGCUAAUACCGCAUAAUGUGCCUUGGGGGGCAUCCCUGGGGUACCAAAGCUUUAUGUGCUGAAAGAUGGCCUCGCGU
Molecule: ribosomal RNA, 242 nt
Filed under: uncultured bacterium
Lineage: Bacteria
Description: partial 16S ribosomal RNA
Rfam family: Bacterial small subunit ribosomal RNA
Source: RNAcentral